CGCACAUUGCGCCCUUUGGCAUUCCGAGGGGCAUGCCCGUUCGAGCGUCAUUAAAUCUAAUCAAGCCCGGCUUGGUAUUGGGCGUCGGGGACUCCCCGUGCCCCAAUUUCGCCGGCUGGCCGUCGCCUGUCUUAGCGUUGUGACUUGUUAUUCGCUACCGACGGGACCGGACCACGCCGUUAAACCCCCCCGAAUUUCAAUCGGAAUUCGAUUAAGGUUGACCUCGGAUCGGGUAGGAAUACCCGCUGAACUUAA
RNAcentral lists this unclassified non-coding RNA (255 nucleotides) under Capnodiales sp. RNAcentral describes it as "partial contains 5.8S ribosomal RNA, internal transcribed spacer 2, and large subunit ribosomal RNA". The record is from RNAcentral. Lineage: Eukaryota; Fungi; Ascomycota; Dothideomycetes; Capnodiales.